GAACUAUUAAACCCUAUAAAUACUCUAAUUAUAUUCAGAUUUUGUAAUUUUGCAUAUUUCUUCAAUUUUCAAUAAAAUUUCUUUCUUUAUUUUUAUCUUUUUCUUCUUAAGGUUUUGGAUUAAACCUUUGUUGCUCUUUGAACAUUUGUUUUCGUAACAAUCUCUACGCGCUACACGUUGUGUCAAUUUCCUUAUUAAUAACUACAUAUAAUUCUAGCCAAUUAGAUAUUAGUCUACUGACAAAUUAAUUAAACUGAGACCUUAACAUACAAAUAAAAAAGGACUAAUUCAAAUCUAUUGAAGGAUUAAUUUAAUUUUCAUCUAUUUAUAUUUUUUUGAUAUGUUUUAUAUUCUUACAAAAUUUUUAUUAAACAAUACGAU
This 381-nucleotide unclassified non-coding RNA is filed under the name Hevea brasiliensis (rubber tree). Lineage: Eukaryota; Viridiplantae; Streptophyta; Magnoliopsida; Malpighiales; Euphorbiaceae. The record is from RNAcentral.